CCCGGCUCCCAGGGGCGGGGGGGCCGGGGUUUGGCUUCCAUUUUCUGUUUGGCCACCUUCCAUGCGAUGGAGCAAUGUAGCCGAGUUGUGGGUUGACUUAGGCUUGCAUCACCCCCCUGAACCAGAUUGCAUCUGCAGUCAUCUGGAACUGACUACAUGCCAGAACUGAUAAAAGAUGCUGUGGAAACGUGGAUCUCCGGGGCCUCGGCAAGGUAUCCUCACAUACAUAUGCUUUUGCCGUAGCCCGUCUCUUUAUUGCCUGGUCCUCUGGAAGACAAAAGAGUGAGAAUCAGGCGUGUGUCGUUAUCCUGUGAACAGUUUGAGAACUGCUUUGACAGCCGAUAGAAGAAGAUAGCGUGAUGUGGCCACCGCAAGCACACGCUCUUUCUAACAAUUUACGGUUGCGCUAUGAUCCCAAUGAGGAGCGAUGCUUGAACCUCCCUCUGAUUAUGUGUUCUUUUCUCGUACUGUAACAAUAUUGUUUCUUUCCAGCACACAAGCAUUCAUGCAAAAAUGCCAAAAUUCUCCGUGCAGAUUAAAGUAUGUUUACAAAUUAAGGAAAGGCUGGUGUGGAACAAAAGGAAAAAUUAAAUUAUCCUAGCAAUUUUGCACUUCCUUGUAAUCAAAGUCCUGUCUUUGGAAGGUGUUAUGUAGGAUACACACUUGGUGAGGCCUGUGAGAAUUUUCCUUGUGUCAAGACAGCAGGAGUUAGCCCUAGCAAAUCACACGCUUCUAAAAAUGGUGGCCAGUAAGCAAUAGGUGGGCUUUCCUGGGGAAGAGCAGGAAGAAAACUUGGUGAGAGCUUGAUCCUCUGCGGUGUCACCUUUCACAACCGACUGACUGACAAACGAAAGAAAAGGGGAGCUAGAUCCCCGUGAGGAUGGGCGCCUCCUGUUGUGUAAUAGAAUGAAAUCCAGUGAUGUGCUCUCUCCCACUAGAUCUGAUACAACUGCUCUAUGAUAAAGAUUAAUUUCUAAAAAUCAAGUGUAAACCUAUAGGUCAGCCAGUAAGACAGUGACUUGACAAAUUUUUCAUUGCAAGGUGUGCGAUAGUUUCGUGCCUUUAAUCUGCAUCGCUGCAGACGGUGUAUUGUUGAAUCCAGUGAAG
Haliaeetus leucocephalus (bald eagle) is the source of this 1107-nucleotide long non-coding RNA. RefSeq lists it as uncharacterized. The transcript is spliced from 3 exons. Lineage: Eukaryota; Metazoa; Chordata; Aves; Accipitriformes; Accipitridae. The record is from RefSeq and is a predicted model, not a curated record.